RNAcentral lists this ribosomal RNA (304 nucleotides) under uncultured bacterium. RNAcentral's name for it is "partial 16S ribosomal RNA". It matches the Rfam family "Bacterial small subunit ribosomal RNA", at positions 506 to 807 of the family's 1533-position model. The record is from RNAcentral.
CAGCAGUCGCCACGGGAAUACAGAGGGUGCGAGCGUUAAUCGGAUUUACUGGGCGUAAAGCGUGCGUAGGCGGCUUCUUAAGUCGGAUGUGAAAUCCCUGAGCUUAACUUAGGAAUUGCAUUCGAUACUGGGAAGCUAGAGUAUGGGAGAGGAUGGUAGAAUUCCAGGUGUAGCGGUGAAAUGCGUAGAGAUCUGGAGGAAUACCGAUGGCGAAGGCAGCCAUCUGGCCUAAUACUGACGCUGAGGUACGAAAGCAUGGGGAGCAAACAGGAUUAGAUACCCGAGUAGUCCCUGUCUCUUAUAC